This 502-nucleotide ribosomal RNA is filed under the name uncultured bacterium. RNAcentral describes it as "partial 16S ribosomal RNA". It matches the Rfam family "Bacterial small subunit ribosomal RNA", at positions 28 to 523 of the family's 1533-position model. The record is from RNAcentral.
GAUGAACGCUAGCGGCAGGCCUAACACAUGCAAGUCGAGGGGCAGCACAGAAACAGCAAUGUUUUGGUGGCGACCGGCGGACGGGUGCGUAACGCGUAUGCAACCUACCUUUAACAGGGGGAUAACGGAGAGAAAUUUCCACUAAUACCCCAUAACAUCGAUCAAGGCAUCUUGAUUGGUUGAAAACUCCGGUGGUUAAAGAUGGGCAUGAGUUGUAUUAGGUAGUUGGUGAGGUACUGGCUCACCAAGCCUACGAUACAUAGGGGGACUGAGCGGUUAGCCCCCCGCACUGGGACUGAGACACGGACCAGACUCCUACGAGAGGCAGCAGUGAGGAAUAUUGGUCUAUGGGGGCAACCUUGAACCAGCCAUGCCGCGUGCAGGAAGACGGCUCUAUGAGUUGUAAACUGCUUUUAAACAGGGAUAAAGCACAGUAUGUAUACUGUGUUGAAGGUACUGUAAGAAUAAGGAUCGGCUAACUCCGUGCCAGCCGCCGCCGUAA